RNAcentral lists this unclassified non-coding RNA (246 nucleotides) under uncultured fungus. RNAcentral describes it as "partial contains 5.8S rRNA and ITS2". The record is from RNAcentral. Lineage: Eukaryota; Fungi.
AACGCAACUUGCACUCUGUUCUGCAGAGUAUGCCUGUUUGAGAAUCUAACUGUUAUUCAACUGUGAGUUGAGAGCUGGGCAAAGCAUAGACUUGCCUGAAAAGCAGAAGGCUGUGUAAUGGGGAACGACGCCUAGACCACAGAGAGAUGAAGGGUUCGCCCACUUCCUCUGGGGCCAAGCGUCCUAUUACUGGGCCCAAACUUGAACCUUGGUCUCAAAUCAGGUAGGAAGACCCGCUGAACUUAA